ACACCGUUAGGCUGGGAGGUCACUUCCCAGGCUCUGUCCAGGUGGCACAGGGAAGCCCUGCCUGGUGAUGUACAGUCUAUUUCCACAACAUUGGACAUGAAGCCGGGCCUUGAGCCCGUGCCUGCAUAUUUCUACAGCUUCUCAGAGUCUUGUGGACAAUGACUGAGGAGACAAACCACACAGGAAACAGCC
Molecule: small nucleolar RNA, 192 nt
Organism: Choloepus hoffmanni (Hoffmann's two-fingered sloth)
Lineage: Eukaryota; Metazoa; Chordata; Mammalia; Pilosa; Megalonychidae
Gene: SNORA73
Rfam family: Small nucleolar RNA SNORA73 family
About the family: U17 (SNORA73A and SNORA73B) also known as E1 belongs to the H/ACA class of small nucleolar RNAs (snoRNAs).
Source: Ensembl